Ictidomys tridecemlineatus (thirteen-lined ground squirrel) is the source of this 297-nucleotide non-coding RNA. The record is from RefSeq and is a predicted model, not a curated record. NCBI's taxonomy places the organism in Eukaryota, Metazoa, Chordata, Mammalia, Rodentia, Sciuridae.
AAACAGCUCUUUUGAAAAGAUCUGGAAGAACAAGCUUAAAGCUGCCAAAGAUAACAGCUUCUCUUCUAGGUGAUCCAAGUGACCUAGGUAUUUUUUAGCCCCAUCCAGGAGACAAACCUGCCAUUAUGGAUCCUACUGGACAGGUGAGGAAAGGAGUGUUGGAGGAAGACCUCUGCAGCCUGUAGGAUGAAGCCUACUCCAUACCGGAAGUGGCUCAGCCCACUCUCUUGUCCACUCAAGCUGGCUGCACUGCCUGCAUCCUUUGAAAGCCACAAGACUGGGAUUAGGUACACCUGC